Molecule: transfer RNA, 73 nt
Filed under: Podarcis lilfordi (Lilford's wall lizard)
Lineage: Eukaryota; Metazoa; Chordata; Lepidosauria; Squamata; Lacertidae
Description: tRNA.Ala
Source: RNAcentral
GCAUUCAUAGCUCAGUGGCAAAGCAUCUGCUUUGCAUUCAGAAUGUCCCAGGUUCAAAUCCCCAGCAUCUCCA